Molecule: ribosomal RNA, 399 nt
Filed under: uncultured bacterium
Lineage: Bacteria
Description: bacterial SSU rRNA
Rfam family: Bacterial small subunit ribosomal RNA
Source: RNAcentral
GGAAUAUUGCGCAAUGGGCGAAAGCCUGACGCAGCAACGCCGCGUGAGGGAUGAAGGCUUUCGGGUUGUAAACCUCUUUCAGCAGGGACGAUUGUGACGGUACCUGCAGAAGAAGCCCCGACCAACUACGUGCCAGCCGCCGCGUUAACACGUAGGGGGCGAGCGUUGUCCGGAUUUAUUGGGCGUAAAGAGCUCGUAGGUGGUUCGGUAAGUCGGGUGUGAAAACUCUGGGCUCAACUCAGAGACGCCACCUGAUACUGCCGUGACUGGCGUCUGGUAGGGGAGUGUGGAAGUCCCGGUGUAGCGGUGAAAUGCGCAGAUAUCGGGAGGAACACCAGUGGCGAAGGCGGCACUCUGGGCCAGUACUGACACUGAGGAGCGAAAGCGUGGGUAGCGAAC